RNAcentral lists this ribosomal RNA (495 nucleotides) under uncultured bacterium. Its description in RNAcentral is "partial 16S ribosomal RNA". It matches the Rfam family "Bacterial small subunit ribosomal RNA", at positions 28 to 507 of the family's 1533-position model. The record is from RNAcentral.
GACGAACGCUGGCGGCGUGCCUAAUACAUGCAAGUAGAACGCUGAAGGAGGAGCUUGCUUCUCCGGAUGAGUUGCGAACGGGUGAGUAACGCGUAGGUAACCUGCCUGGUAGCGGGGGAUAACUAUUGGAAACGAUAGCUAAUACCGCAUAAGAGUAGAUGUCGCAUGACAUUUGCUUAAAAGGUGCAACUGCACCACUACCAGAUGGACCUGCGUUGUAUUAGCUAGUUGGUGAGGUAACGGCUCACCAAGGCAACGAUACAUAGCCGACCUGAGAGGGGGAUCGGCCACACUGGGACUGAGACACGGCCCAGACUCCUACGGGAGGCAGCAGUAGGGAAUCUUCGGCAAUGGACGGAAGUCUGACCGAGCAACGCCGCGUGAGUGAAGAAGGUUUUCGGAUCGUAAAGCUCUGUUGUAAGAGAAGAACGAGUGUGAGAGUGGAAAGUUCACACUGUGACGGUAGCUUACCAGAAAGGGACGGCUAACUACGUG